ACUUUCCUUGUCCUGGGGUGGUAUGGGAGGCUCAAUGAACGUAUAGUGAGAGCCUCCCUGCUUACACCAUAUCAACACUCUCGCAUCACCUGGGCUUCAUGCUCGGGCUAUGGUGCAAUUUUUGGAACA
This is a small nuclear RNA of Trematomus bernacchii (emerald rockcod), 129 nucleotides long. RefSeq annotates it as U4atac minor spliceosomal RNA. Lineage: Eukaryota; Metazoa; Chordata; Actinopteri; Perciformes; Nototheniidae. The transcript has a single exon. The record is from RefSeq and is a predicted model, not a curated record.